RNAcentral lists this ribosomal RNA (768 nucleotides) under uncultured bacterium. RNAcentral describes it as "bacterial SSU rRNA". It matches the Rfam family "Bacterial small subunit ribosomal RNA", at positions 8 to 796 of the family's 1533-position model. The record is from RNAcentral.
AGAGUUUGAUCAUGGCUCAGAACGAACGCUGGCGGCGUGCUUAACACAUGCAAGUCGAGUGCGCGGUUGUAGCAAUGCAACUGGCGCACGGCGCACGGGUGCGUAACACGUGGGUAACCUGCCCUUUGGUGGGGAAUAACUCCGCGAAAGCGGAGCUAAUUCCGCAUAAGAUCCGCAAGGAUGAAAGCCGCAAGGCGCCGAAGGAGGGGCCCGCGCCCGAUUAGCUAGUUGGUGAGGUAAUGGCUCACCAAGGCUUUGAUCGGUAGCUGGUCUGAGAGGAUGAUCAGCCACACUGGAACUGAGACACGGUCCAGACUCCUACGGGAGGCAGCAGUGGGGAAUCUUGCACAAUGGGCGAAAGCCUGAUGCAGCGACGCCGCGUGGGGGGAUGAAGCAUUUCGGUGUGUAAACCCCUUUCGAUCCGGACGAAACCCCGCAAGGGAUUGACGGUACGGAUAUAAGAAGCCCCGGCUAACUACGUGCCAGCAGCCGCGGUAAGACGUAGGGGGCCAGCGUUGUUCGGAAUUACUGGGNNNAAAGGGUUCGUAGGCGGGCGGCAAGUUGGGAGUGAAAUCUCUGGGCUUAACCCAGAGGCUGCUCCAAAACUGCUGUGCUUGAGUGUGGGAGAGGCGCGUGGAAUUGCAGGUGUAGCGGUGAAAUGCGUAGAUAUCUGCAGGAACACCGUGGCGAAAGCGGCGCGCUGGACCACUACUGACGCUGAGGAACGAAAGCUAGGGGAGCAAACAGGAUUAGAUACCCNNGUAGUCC